GAUGAAGAACGCAGCGAAAUGCGAUAAGUAAUGCGAAUUGCAGAAUUUCCGUGAGUCAUCGAAUCUUUGAACGCACAUUGCGCCCCCUGGUAUUCCGGGGGGCAUGCCUGUCCGAGCGUCAUUGCUGCCCUCAAGCACGGCUUGUGUGUUGGGCCUCCGUCCUCCUCCCGGGGGACGGGCCCGAAAGGCAGCGGCGGCACCGCGUCCGGUCCUCGAGCGUAUGGGGCUUCGUCACCCGCUCUUGUAGGCCCGGCCGGCGCUUGCCGACACAUCAAUCUUUUUUCCAGGUUGACCUCGGAUCAGGUAGGGAUACCCGCUGAACUUAAGCAUAUCAAUAAGCGGAGGA
RNAcentral lists this unclassified non-coding RNA (346 nucleotides) under soil metagenome. RNAcentral describes it as "partial contains 5.8S ribosomal RNA, internal transcribed spacer 2, and large subunit ribosomal RNA". The stretch from base 1 to 121 matches the Rfam family "5.8S ribosomal RNA", at positions 35 to 154 of the family's 154-position model. The record is from RNAcentral.